RNAcentral lists this ribosomal RNA (528 nucleotides) under uncultured bacterium. RNAcentral describes it as "bacterial SSU rRNA". It matches the Rfam family "Bacterial small subunit ribosomal RNA", at positions 28 to 526 of the family's 1533-position model. The record is from RNAcentral.
GACGAACGCUGGCGGCGUGCCUAAUACAUGCAAGUUGAACGCUAAAGCUUUAACUGGUGCUUGCACCGACUUAAGUUUUUAGAGUAGCGGACGGGUGAGUAACACGUGGGUAACCUGCCCUAAAGUGGGGGAUAACAUUUGGAAACAGAUGCUAAUACCGCAUAAAUCUUGGAACCUCAUGGUUCCAAGCUGAAAGAUGGCGUAAGCUAUCGCUUUUGGAUGGACCCGCGGCGUAUUAGCUAGUUGGUGAGGUAAAGGCUCACCAAGGCGAUGAUACGUAGCCGACCUGAGAGGGUGAUCGGCCACAUUGGGACUGAGACACGGCCCAAACUCCUACGGGAGGCAGCAGUAGGGAAUCUUCCACAAUGGACGAAAGUCUGAUGGAGCAACGCCGCGUGAGUGAAGAAGGUUUUCGGAUCGUAAAACUCUGUUGUUGGAGAAGAACGUACGUGAGAGUAACUGUUCACGUAGUGACGGUAUCCAACCAGAAAGCCACGGCUAACUACGUGCCAGCCGCCGCAGUAAAAC